RNAcentral lists this ribosomal RNA (562 nucleotides) under uncultured bacterium. RNAcentral's name for it is "bacterial SSU rRNA". It matches the Rfam family "Bacterial small subunit ribosomal RNA", at positions 338 to 918 of the family's 1533-position model. The record is from RNAcentral.
CCUACGGGAGGCAGCAGUGGGGAAUCUUGGACAAUGGGCGCAAGCCUGAUCCAGCCAUGCCGCGUGAGUGAUGAAGGCCUUAGGGUCGUAAAGCUCUUUCGCCAGAGAUGAUAAUGACAGUAUCUGGUAAAGAAACCCCGGCUAACUCCGUGCCAGCAGCCGCGGUAAUACGGAGGGGGUUAGCGUUGUUCGGAAUUACUGGGCGUAAAGCGCACGUAGGCGGAUCGGAAAGUUGGGGGUGAAAUCCCGGGGCUCAACCCCGGAACUGCCUCCAAAACUAUCGGUCUAGAGUUCGAGAGAGGUGAGUGGAAUUCCGAGUGUAGAGGUGAAAUUCGUAGAUAUUCGGAGGAACACCAGUGGCGAAGGCGGCUCACUGGCUCGAUACUGACGCUGAGGUGCGAAAGUGUGGGGAGCAAACAGGAUUAGAUACCCUGGUAGUCCACGCCGUAAACGAUGAAUGCCAGUCGUCGGGUAGCAUGCUAUUCGGUGACACACCUAACGGAUUAAGCAUUCCGCCUGGGGAGUACGGUCGCAAGAUUAAAACUCAAAGGAAUUGACGGGG